GACACUAUAGCCAAGUGGUUACGGCGACAGAUUCGAAUGUUCACCAGGAUUUGAACCUCCUAUCUGUUCCUCUUUGAGGGCGCAGGUUCAAAUCCUGCUGGUGUCG
This 106-nucleotide transfer RNA is filed under the name Fibroporia radiculosa. It matches the Rfam family "tRNA". Rfam says of the family: Transfer RNA (tRNA) molecules are approximately 80 nucleotides in length. Their secondary structure includes four short double-helical elements and three loops (D, anti-codon, and T loops). Further hydrogen bonds mediate the characteristic L-shaped molecular structure. tRNAs have two regions of fundamental functional importance: the anti-codon, which is responsible for specific mRNA codon recognition, and the 3' end, to which the tRNAs corresponding amino acid is attached (by aminoacyl-tRNA synthetases). tRNAs cope with the degeneracy of the genetic code in two manners: having more than one tRNA (with a specific anti-codon) for a particular amino acid; and 'wobble' base-pairing, i.e. permitting non-standard base-pairing at the 3rd anti-codon position. Lineage: Eukaryota; Fungi; Basidiomycota; Agaricomycetes; Polyporales; Fibroporiaceae. The record is from Rfam by way of RNAcentral.